CCGUCAUGACUCGUCCGGCGAGUGAGCGGCAAGAGCUCAAAUUUGAAAGCUGGCCCCUUCGGGGUCCGCGUUGUAAUUUGCAGAGGAUGCUUCGGGUGCAGCCCCCGUCUAAGUGCCCUGGAACGGGCCGUCAUAGAGGGUGAGAAUCCCGUCUGGGACGGGGUGUCUGCGUCCGUGUGAAGCUCCUUUCAACAAUUCAAGUUGUUGGGAAAUGCACCCUCUAAAGGGGGGGAAAUUUUCUUCUAAAAGCUAAAUACUGGCCGGAGACCGAUAGCGCACAAGUAGAGUGAUCGAAAGAUGAAAAGCACUUUGAAAAGAGAGUUAAACAGCACGUGAAAUUGUUGAAAGGGAAGCGUUUGCGACCAGACUCGCCCGCGGGGUUCAGCCGGCAUUCGUGCCGGUGUACUUCCCCGUGGGCGGGCCAGCGUCGGUUUGGGCGGCCGGUCAAAGGCCCUCGGAAUGUAUCACCUCUCGGGGUGUCUUAUAGCCGAGGGUGCAAUGCCGGCCUGCCUGGACCGAGGAACGCGCUUCGGCUCGGACGCUGGCGUAAUGGGUCGUAAAUGAGCCCGUCUCUGAACACCGGGACCACAAA
Molecule: ribosomal RNA, 592 nt
Filed under: Aspergillus fumigatus
Lineage: Eukaryota; Fungi; Ascomycota; Eurotiomycetes; Eurotiales; Aspergillaceae
Description: LSU rRNA
Rfam family: Eukaryotic large subunit ribosomal RNA
Source: RNAcentral